RNAcentral lists this ribosomal RNA (453 nucleotides) under Escherichia coli. RNAcentral describes it as "bacterial SSU rRNA". It matches the Rfam family "Bacterial small subunit ribosomal RNA", at positions 1092 to 1533 of the family's 1533-position model. The record is from RNAcentral. Lineage: Bacteria; Pseudomonadati; Pseudomonadota; Gammaproteobacteria; Enterobacterales; Enterobacteriaceae.
ACGAGCGCAACCCUUAUCCUUUGUUGCCAGCGGUCCGGCCGGGAACUCAAAGGAGACUGCCAGUGAUAAACUGGAGGAAGGUGGGGAUGACGUCAAGUCAUCAUGGCCCUUACGACCAGGGCUACACACGUGCUACAAUGGCGCAUACAAAGAGAAGCGACCUCGCGAGAGCAAGCGGACCUCAUAAAGUGCGUCGUAGUCCGGAUUGGAGUCUGCAACUCGACUCCAUGAAGUCGGAAUCGCUAGUAAUCGUGGAUCAGAAUGCCACGGUGAAUACGUUCCCGGGCCUUGUACACACCGCCCGUCACACCAUGGGAGUGGGUUGCAAAAGAAGUAGGUAGCUUAACCUUCGGGAGGGCGCUUACCACUUUGUGAUUCAUGACUGGGGUGAAGUCGUAACAAGGUAACCGUAGGGGAACCUGCGGUUGGAUCACCUCCUUACCUUAAAGAAGC